This 416-nucleotide ribosomal RNA is filed under the name uncultured bacterium. RNAcentral's name for it is "bacterial SSU rRNA". It matches the Rfam family "Bacterial small subunit ribosomal RNA", at positions 29 to 430 of the family's 1533-position model. The record is from RNAcentral.
AACGAACGCUGGCGGCGUGCCUAACACAUGCAAGUCGUGCGAGAAAGUUCCUUCGGGAGCGAGUAAAGCGGCGCACGGGUGAGUAACACGUAGGUAACCUGCCCCCCAGUCUGGAACAACUAGAGGAAACUCUAGCUAAUGCCGGAUGAGACCACGAUCCCUUCGGGGGUUGCGGCCAAAGAUGGCCUCUACUUGUAAGCUAUCGCUGAGGGAUGGGCCUGCGGGCCAUUAGCUUGUUGGUGAGGUAACGGCUCACCAAGGCUGUGAUGGCUAGCUGGUCUGAGAGGAUGACCAGCCACACUGGGACUGAGACACGGCCCAGACUCCUACGGAGGCAGCAGUGGGGAAUAUUGCGCAAUGGCGAAAGCCUGACGCAGCGACGCCGCGUGGGUGAUGAAGGCCUUCGGUCGGUUAAA